UACAGAGUCUUACAAGAACGCACAUACUGGGGAUAAACAUUAUCAAUAAGAUGUUAGAGGGAGGAGAUGAUUUAGUCACAAUCAAUGGUACUCUACAGAGACAUAAAACACACAUACUGUAGAUAAACAUUAUCAAUAAGAUGCUAGAGAGAGGAGAAGAUUUAGUCACAACCAAUGGUACUCUACAGAGACACAUAAACACACAUACUGGAGAUAAACAUUAUCAAUAAGAUGUUAGAGGGAGGAGAUGAUUUAGUCACACUCAAUGGUACUCUACAGAGACACAUCAACACACAUACUGGAGAUAAACAUUAUCAAUAAGAUGUUAGGGGGAGGAGAUGAUUUAGUCACAAUCAAUGGUACUCUACAGAGACACAUCAACACACAUACUGUAGAUAAACAUUAUCAAUAAGAUGUUAGAGAGAGGAGAUGAUUUAGUCACAAUCAAUGGUACUCUACAGAGACACAUAAACACACAUACUGUAGAUAAACAUUAUCAAUAAGAAGGAGAUGAUUUAGUCACAAUCAAUGGUACUCUACAGAGACACAUAAACACACAUACUGGAGAUAAAACAUUAUCAAUAAGAUGUUAGAGGGAGGAGAUGAUUUAGUCACAAUCAAUGGUACUAGAUAAACAUUAUCAAUAAGAUGUUAGAGGGAGGAGAUGAUUUAGUCACACUCAAUGGUACUCUACAGAGACACAUAAACACACAGGCUGGUAAAACACUUCAUAAAUGUGAUGUUUGUGCUAAAGAAUUUUCUCGAGAUAGUCACUUAAAGAGACACUUGAGAACACAUACUGGCGAAAAACCUCACAAGUGUGAUGUUUGUUUUAGAAAAUUUAGUCAAAGAAGUUACUUAAAAGGACACAUGAGAACACAUACUGGUGAAAAACCUCACAAAUGUGAUAUUUGUUUUAGAAAAUUUACACAAAGUGGUCACUUAAACAGACACUUGAGAACACAUACUGG
RNAcentral lists this long non-coding RNA (971 nucleotides) under Mytilus galloprovincialis (Mediterranean mussel). Lineage: Eukaryota; Metazoa; Mollusca; Bivalvia; Mytilida; Mytilidae. The record is from RNAcentral.